Non-coding RNA from Triticum urartu, 121 nucleotides. NCBI's taxonomy places the organism in Eukaryota, Viridiplantae, Streptophyta, Magnoliopsida, Poales, Poaceae. The record is from Rfam.
AACUACGCCCGCCACACGAGGAGCCAUGGGCACAGCGAACUAUUCUUUCGCCUUUUACUAAAGAAUACCAUGUGCACGCGACACAUGUGUAGCAUACUCUAAUUUUUAAAGGUCCCCGACA